ACUUCCCACCUGACUCACCCUUGGCAGGUGUGGUAUUCAUGCUGAUAGUGCAUGCUGAGUGCAGCCUUCUGGGCCAAGUGGGCAGAACAAGCCCUGUGGACCCAAGCCAAACUAGCGCAAAGGUGCCACUGGCCAUGGAGGUUUCUGGCUGGAAAAGUAAAACCCUAAGGACCCUAUGACAAUGGCAUCUCAUUGUGGUUUUGAUUUGCAUUUCUCUGAUGAUUAGUGAUGUGGAGCAUUUUUUAUAUGUUCUCUGACUCCUUGUAUGUUUUCCUUUGAGAAUGUUUGUUCAUAUUCUUUGCCCAUUUUUUAAUGGGGUAAAUUGAUUUUUGCUUGGUGAUUUUUUUAAGUUUCUUAUAGAUUCUAAAUAUUAGCAAAGUCUAACUUUUGAUUGGUAGAAAAACCAAGAAGCUGCGCUGAAACCAGGGAUUUUAGUAGUUAGCCAUCCAAAGCAAAUAACAGUAAAUCCUGUUCAAAAGUCUGAGGAAUCACUGAGAAUUUGCAUAUUAUGGAGUCUACAGAUUUCACUGAAUCAGAUGACUGAGUUGAACUUGAGAUGUGAUCCAAAAAAGAAAGCUUCUGUAAAAUUCCUGAAAGCUCUUUGGCAGCGCAUUUCACUGUAGUGGGCAUCUACACAUCUGAGAAAAUUUUGAUAAUGGGAACAUGAAAGGGGAUGAUAGAGAAACAAUGACACUCAGCAGAAGUAAAAGCUCUUAACACCUCUCAUUUCAGCUUUAUGAAGUGAAAAGUACAAUACAUACUCCCAAGAUCAUUCUGUCCUUUACUGGUAAACGACACUUGGUGCCAAUAAAUCUAUGGAGAAAUUAUCAACUUUUGUUCCUACAUCAUACAAAAAUAUAGAUUUCCCCAUAAUGUGACAAUCGUAUUUUUUCAAAAAAAAAUUAAUGAUGCAUUGCAUGGUAGCAAUUAGACCUAGAAAAGACAACGUGAACUUGGUGAAAUACAAGGAACAAGAUGACACAAACAAAUCCUUUUGAAUAUUUGGUGUAUAUUCUACCCAAUAAACACACAUAUCCUCCCCUAUCUUAUUUGUUCAAUUCCCUUCUCUCCCUCAGUUGAAGCAAUUGAAAGGAAAAUCUUAUUCUUAGCCACUAUUUAGCAUUCUCAGUAAUUAUUCACAUUAGUUUCUGCUUAGUAUCUGAAGCUUACAUUCCCCAGAUGAUUAUUUCUUGCUGCUUAUGAUAAGAUAUAAACUGGGUUCACAUGAACAAGAAUUAUUAUUUAAUAAAUACUUAAUCUGUUUAAAUAAACCUAUAUUUUUAUCAGUAACAUCUCUCAAAAAUAUUGUUUGGAAAGAGAUCACCACUCUGGGGUGAAGAGAAGGGUGGAGAUUUAAAUAUUAAAUCUCCUAUGACAUAAUUCUAAUAUAUUUUGAUAGAGGCAUGCCCUACUGUUGUGAGUGUUACUUUAUGAAUAAACUGGGACCCAAAGAGAUUUGGUAAUCAAAUAGUCAAUAAAUGUAAUAUUCCAUGUAUAUGUGAAAUUGUAUAAUUGAGCUUCAAACCUAUUAAAAACUAAAGUGUUCAUUUAUAUUCAUAAUUAGGGCAUGAAAUAUGGAACAUAAGAGAAUUUGUUCUUUGGUGGUGUGUGUCUUCAUCCAUUCAGACUGCUAUAUAACAAAACACCAUAAACUGGGCAGCUUACAAAUAACAGAAAUUUGUUUCUUACAGUUCUGGAUACUGCGAGGUCCAUGCUCAAGGUGCCGGCAGACUCUGUCUGGCAAGGGCUCACUUUCUGGUUCAUAGAUGCUGUCUUCUAAUUGGGUUUUCACAUGGUGGAAUAGGGUCAAGGCAGCUCUCUGGGGCCCCGUUUAUAAGGGCACUAAUCCCAUGUCAGAAUGAUUUCCUAACAACCCCACCUCCUAAUGCCAUCUCAUUUGUGACUAAAUUUAUACAUGUGAAUUUUGGGGGGACACAGCAUUCAGACCACAGCACUGUGCUAAUUUACUCUGUAAAUGAGGAGCAAGAUAGGAACAAGAGAUGUUUCAAAGCAGCUCUCCACAAUCAACAGCCAUGCAUUCUCUCUUCACAUAUCUGACUUUUAACCUCUCAGAGACAUGUUUUCUCAUAGAAGAAUAAAGUUUUCUAUGGUAGCUGAAACUUUUCUCUGCGUGUCUCAGCUCAGGUUAUGUUGCCUAAUUUAAAUCACGAGAAAUAUGACCUCAGCUCAUGCCUUCUAUAGAACAAGUUAGCACACCAAGAACACAUUCCCUUCUGCUGUAUCUCUUAUGCCCUGACUAUGAAUAUAAAUGAGCACAGCUUGUGUUUAAAUGCAUUUUACAUCCUAUUAUAAAUAUCACACACAUUUGAAAUGUAGCAUUCAUGGACUAUUUGAUCAUCAAACACUCUGGAUUUCAGUCUAUUUAUAAAUUACACCCAUUACUGUGGAACAUGUCAUUAGUAAAACAUAUUAGAAUGAUAAGAUGAGAGAUGCAUUCUUUACUAUUGCAUGCCUCCUCUGCCCUCCCUGUGGUGGUAGUCUCUUUCCACAUAAUCAUUUUCUUUAACAGAUGUUACUGUUAGUAGUUUGCAGAUGUAAAUUAUGUUGAAACAUUAACAUCUUUGGAAUCUUGGACUAAUGUCCCUGACUCUGUGAAAUAAUCUAUGUUAAUAAUAAACUCCUUCAUAAGUCUAGUACCACCACAGAAUUCUUCCCAUACAUUUCCUUCUCUUGACUACCCUGACCACCAUGCCUAGCCUGGUUCUCUCCCACCAUGCAUCAUGUCAGAUUCUAAGAAAAUUUUCUCAGACUUCAAGAAUCACUGAGUUUCCUCUAUCACGUUUUCCUCAUAGGAUCUUUAUCCUUUUCUUUACAUUAUUUAUUUUAUCCAGUGUUUUUGUUUGCUUAUGUAUUUUCAAAUUAAUUGAAAAACCUAAAAGAACACAAGCAAACGAUUAAGUAUGUUUUGGGUUCUGUUGUACUUGUUUGUAGAGUUCAGUGUUUUUCUGGGAGCUCAACAUAUGAGUACAUUUUACCUAAUUUAGAACACAAUCUUAUCCUUGAUUCAGAGAUAAGAUUAUAUAAACAAAUAGGACAAAAGGAGCUGCUAUUAAAAAGUUCAAGAUUUGAUGUCCCUCUAAGGGGACACAGCAAUAAAGACAAUUUACAGCAUGUACUUUUCACCAAAACAUUUUUUAGUUGACAUUUUUCUGCAAAACUACACAUUUAUUUGUACUCUUUUGGACAACCUUGAGUUGAAAAUUUCAAAGUAAAAAGAGCCAACUUGUAGCUACUAAAAAGUGGAGGAGGACUUCGCUACCAAUUUAGCUUUGGUGAUGGCCAUAAGUUAGCUUGAGAGAUGGAAGAAUAAGGUGAUUCAGCAGAGGGCUUUUUCUGCAACUACCCCUUCUUAGAUAGCCUUUCUACUCUACUUCAGUAGCAUGCCCAAUUGCCCUCCACCAAACAUAAGGCCCAAGAAAAAUCAUCCCAAUUCACAAUGCCUCAAAACACAUAUUUUAAUAUAGGAUAUGCUGUUUCUAUACUGUGUCUCAGAAUGUACUCUUGCAUUAUAUUUGCUACUGAUAAAAUAGCACCCUCAAUGUAUACAAAGACAAAACACUUGAAUACUAUCCAGUUAUUAUGGCUGUUCUGUUGAUGAAUUUCAGCUUCACUCCUGUGGCUAUAAACUUUCAGUGCCUCAUAGUUUUAACAGAGAAACAAUGGCCUGAGUCAAACUAUUAUUUUUUUUCAGAAAUAACAUAUAAGGCAUAUUAAAUAUUUAUCUUGUCACCAUAAAAUAACAACCAAGAAUUUAAAACAAUACAAAUUACUUUUUUAGACAGAAGACUGCAAACACAAUAUGUCUCAAAAUAUUUUACAACACUAUUAGUAACUGAUCAGGAGUCUUUAUAUCUUAUCAUCUAAUGGCCUUUAAUAACAAUGCACAUAAUUGAUCAAGCAUUGAAGAUUCAAUUACUUUUCAGACAGAUAUGCAUGUGACAACCAUACGUUUAUUUGAUUUUCCUUCAGAGAGAAAUGGCAUUUUGAAACUCAAAUAUUCAUAUAU
This is a long non-coding RNA of Homo sapiens (human), 4027 nucleotides long. The record is from Ensembl. NCBI's taxonomy places the organism in Eukaryota, Metazoa, Chordata, Mammalia, Primates, Hominidae.